ACGCGUAUGAAGGUCACGCUGAAAGACUUUACCCAAUGACGUAAGUGGUGGUGCAUGGCCGUUCGUGGUUCGUGGAUUGAUUUGUCUGGUUAAUUCCGAUAACGAGCGAGACCCUAUCGUUCUAAAUACGGGGGCACAGCCCGACCGGUCGAAAGGCCGGUUAGCUACGCCUUAACUCGUAUGCUUCUUAGACGUAUCAUGGCCGACAAGGUCAUUGAAAUGGGUUAAUAACAGGUCAGUGAUGCCCUUAGAUGUUCUGGGCCGCACGCGCGUUACAAUGGCACGUAAAGCGCGUGCUCCAGGUCGAGCAUAACCGUGGUUUUGCGGCCACGGCAAUCCAUAAAACCUGCCUUGACUGGGGUAGGCAAUUGGAACUAUUGGUCUUAAACGAGGAAUUUUUAGUGAUAGCCAGGUCAUUAACCUGCGCUGA
Molecule: ribosomal RNA, 430 nt
Filed under: Physarum viride
Lineage: Eukaryota; Evosea; Eumycetozoa; Physariida; Physaraceae
Description: SSU rRNA
Rfam family: Eukaryotic small subunit ribosomal RNA
Source: RNAcentral